Molecule: ribosomal RNA, 497 nt
Filed under: uncultured bacterium
Lineage: Bacteria
Description: partial 16S ribosomal RNA
Rfam family: Bacterial small subunit ribosomal RNA
Source: RNAcentral
GAUGAACGCUGGCGGCGUGCCUAAUACAUGCAAGUCGAGCGAACGGACGAGAAGCUUGCUUCUCUGAUGUUAGCGGCGGACGGGUGAGUAACACGUGGAUAACCUACCUAUAAGACUGGGAUAACUUCGGGAAACCGUAGCUAAUACCGGAUAAUAUUUUGAACCGCAUGGUUCAAAAGUGAAAGACGGUCUUGCUGUCACUUAUAGAUGGAUCCGCGCUGCAUUAGCUAGUUGGUAAGGUAACGGCUUACCAAGGCAACGAUGCAUAGCCGACCUGAGAGGGUGAUCGGCCACACUGGAACUGAGACACGGUCCAGACUCCUACGGGAGGCAGCAGUAGGGAAUCUUCCGCAAUGGGCGAAAGCCUGACGGAGCAACGCCGCGUGAGUGAUGAAGGUCUUCGGAUCAUAAAACUCUGUUAUUAGGGAAGAACAUAUAUGUAAGUAACUGUGCACAUCUUGACGGUACCUAAUCAGAAAGCCACGGCUAACUACGUG